RNAcentral lists this long non-coding RNA (280 nucleotides) under Elaeis guineensis (African oil palm). Its description in RNAcentral is "long non-coding RNA (EGUI_LNC070207)". The record is from RNAcentral. Lineage: Eukaryota; Viridiplantae; Streptophyta; Magnoliopsida; Arecales; Arecaceae.
UGGGCACUUUUGCAUGGUAUGUAGUUAAUCCAAUGUAGUAUGUAGUUAUUCUAGAAUGUAUAUAGUUUAUUUAUCAUAGUACAUAGCUAUUCUAACAUGGUUUAUAGUUAUUCUAGCAUGACGUAUGGUUAAUAUAGAAUAGUAUAUAGUUAUCACAAUAUACAAUUAAUUUAACAUUGUAUACAGUUAAUCUAGCAUAGAUUAACUAUAAAUCAGAGUAAAAUAACUACGUAUCAUAUUUAUUUAAUGGUAUAUCAUAUUAAAUUAAUUAUAUAUCAUG